Molecule: small RNA, 16 nt
Filed under: Arabidopsis thaliana (thale cress)
Lineage: Eukaryota; Viridiplantae; Streptophyta; Magnoliopsida; Brassicales; Brassicaceae
Description: ATSL067270
Source: RNAcentral
UUUUGUUGUUAUGUAU